CUCUAUCUUGCUCCUUUGGAAGUUGACAUGCAUCGCCGGAGUUCAGGCCUCCACCGGUUUUCUUGGCAUCUGGAGGCGGGGAGAAGAAGAUCAAGGAGCUGUUGACAUUCCCCAAAGGCUAGGACCGCCUUGAGCAAUAAUCUUGGAUUGUUUUUGAAUUUAGAAGAUUACCAAAUCAGGAGCAGUUGACCGAGGGAUCUUAGAAGGUUUCCAGUAGAUGUCUUCCUUUGAAGUUGUAUUUUUUAUGUUAUUGUAUCAGUUGUAUGGUUAUUUAAGAAUCUUCUUGUAGGUCAUUCUGUAUUUCAUUUGCUUUGUAUUCGAGCUUGGUUGUAA
Dioscorea cayenensis subsp. rotundata (Guinea yam) is the source of this 333-nucleotide long non-coding RNA. RefSeq lists it as uncharacterized. The transcript has 3 exons. The record is from RefSeq and is a predicted model, not a curated record. Lineage: Eukaryota; Viridiplantae; Streptophyta; Magnoliopsida; Dioscoreales; Dioscoreaceae.